GAACUAUGCCUGAGUAGGAUGAAGCCGGAGGAAACUCUGGUGGAGGUCCGAAGCGCUUUUGACGUGCAAAUCAAUCGUCAGACUUGGGUAUAGGGGCGAAAGACUAAUCGAACCAUCUAGUAGCUGGUUCCCUUCGAAGUUUCCCCCAGGAAAGCUGGUGCCAUGUUUGACAGUUUUAUCUGGUAAAGCGAAUGAUUAGAGGCAUUGGGGACGAAUUGUCCUCGACCUAUUCUCAAACUUUAAAUGGGUAAUGUACCGUUGUACUUCUUGAUAUUCAUGAGUGCUCGGUCAAAUGCAAUGGCGCCAAGUGGGCCAUUUUUGGUAAGCAGAACUGGCGAUGUGGGAUGAACCAAACGUUGAGCUAGGAUGCCCAAAGUGCUUCUCAUGAGAUACCAUGAAAGGUGUCAGUCGAUAUUGACAGCAGGACGGUGGCCGCAGAAGUAGGAAUCCGCUAAGGAGUGUGUAACAACUCACCUGCCGAAUCGACUGGUCCUGAAAAUGGAUGGCGCUGGAGACGUAUAUCCAUGCUCGACCGUCAAUGCCAACGAAAGCGAUUGCUAUAUGGCUUGACGUGUAGAAGGGCGAUUGCCGUGGCGUCGAAACUUGCACCGUGAGGUGGGGUAGAGCUGCGGCAUGUGCAGAUCUUGGUGGUAGUAGCAAGUAUUCAAAUGAGAGCAUUGAAGACUGAAGUGGAGUAAGGUUCCAUGUGAACAGCAUUUGGACAUGGAUCAGCCGAUCCUAAGAGAACGUGUAAGUUCGUGAUUAAGCGCGUCGCCUUGUGCGUCGCAAUCGAAAGGGAAUCGGGUUAAUAUUCCCGAGCCAGGAUACGGAAUGAGCCUGAUUAAUCGAAAGUACCUUGUGUGCUUUUGACUUCAGGCAAAAGCGGCAACGCCAACAAACCCAGAGAUUAACUAUGCGAAGUCCGGGGAAGAGUUUUCUCUUCUUUGUAAGGGAUGUUAUCCCUGGAAACAGAUUGUCUGGCGAUAGGGUACGCAUCCCGUAAUGCAACGCGAUUCCUGCGAUGUACCGUGCGCUUCGUAUAGUGCUUGAAAAUCUGGGAGCGAGUUUGUUCAGGCCGUACCUGUUCGUACUGAUUUCCGCAGCAGGUCUCCAAGGUGAGCAGCCUCUAGUCGAUGGGACAAAGUAGACAAGGGAAGUCGGCAAAUUAGAUCCGUAACUUCGGAAAAAGGAUUGGCUCUAAAGGCUGAGUUGGUCGGGCGGUUGCGUAAAGCUGGGAGCGAUGCUUUGACUCUGUCUCAGACUCCAUACUCGCAAGGGAUAUGUAAUCGGCGGCGGAGCUUAGUAUUUGCUCACUGUGGACCGCGGUCGCUAUGCCACCCAUGCGGUGUCAAAAUUCAUUUUCGAGCCGUGCGGUGUGGAUCCGAUCAGCGUUUAACAGCUGACCUAGAACUGGUAUGGACAAGGGGAAUCCAACUGUUUAAUUAAAACAAAGCAUUGCGAUAGCUGUAAUCGGUGUUGACGCGAUGUGAUUUCUGCCCAGUGCUCUGAAUGUUAAAGUGAAGGAACUCAUUAAAGCGCGAGUUAACGGCGGAAGUAACUAUGACUUUCUUAAGGUAGCCAAAUGCCUCGUCAUCUAAUUAGUGACGUGCAUGAAUGGAUUAUUGAGAUUCCUUCUGUCCCUGUCUGCAACCUAGCGAAACCACAGCCAAGGGAACGGGCUUGGAGAGUAACAGCGGGGAAAGAAGACCCUGUUGAGCUUGACUCUAGUCAGUCUUUGUGAAGAAACAUGAUGGGUGUAGAAUAGGUGGGAGGACGCGACAGUGAAAUACCACUACUAUCAUCGUUUCUUUACUUACUCAAUUGAUCAGGGAGCGUGAAUUCGCUAUUUGCGAUGUAUGAUUAUUCCUUCAGUGGAAUAAGUGUCUGGUUUGAGAACACAGACUGAUUGGGAGUUUGACUGGGGCGGUACAUCUGUUAAAAUCUAACGCAGGUGUCCUAAGGCAAUCUCAGCGUGGACAGAAACCUCGCAUAGAGCGAAAGGGCAAAAGAUUGCUUGAUCUUGAUUUUCAGUACGAAUAAAGACAAUGAAAGUUUGGCUUGUCGAUCCUUUUGAAUUUUACGAGUUUUAAGCAAGAGGUGUCAGAAAAGUUACCACAGGGAUAACUGGCU
This 2130-nucleotide ribosomal RNA is filed under the name Neoechinorhynchus cylindratus. Its description in RNAcentral is "partial large subunit ribosomal RNA". It matches the Rfam family "Eukaryotic large subunit ribosomal RNA", at positions 828 to 2835 of the family's 3401-position model. The record is from RNAcentral. Lineage: Eukaryota; Metazoa; Acanthocephala; Eoacanthocephala; Neoechinorhynchida; Neoechinorhynchidae.